UACGAAGGGAGCUAGCGUUGUUCGGAAUCACUGGGCGUAAAGCGCACGUAGGCGGAUGUGUCAGUCAGGGGUGAAAUCCCGGAGCUCAACUUCGGAACUGCCUUUGAUACAGCACGUCUUGAGUCCGAUAGAGGUGGGUGGAAUUCCUAGUGUAGAGGUGAAAUUCGUAGAUAUUAGGAAGAACACCGGUGGCGAAGGCGACUCUUUGGCCUGUAACUGACGCUGAGGCGCGAAAGCGUGGGGAGCAAACAGG
This 253-nucleotide ribosomal RNA is filed under the name uncultured bacterium. Its description in RNAcentral is "partial 16S ribosomal RNA". It matches the Rfam family "Bacterial small subunit ribosomal RNA", at positions 524 to 776 of the family's 1533-position model. The record is from RNAcentral.